RNAcentral lists this ribosomal RNA (585 nucleotides) under uncultured bacterium. RNAcentral describes it as "bacterial SSU rRNA". It matches the Rfam family "Bacterial small subunit ribosomal RNA", at positions 338 to 916 of the family's 1533-position model. The record is from RNAcentral.
CCUACGGGAGGCAGCAGUGGGGAAUUUUGGACAAUGGGGGCAACCCUGAUCCAGCCAUGCCGCGUGAGUGAAGAAGGCCUUCGGGUUGUAAAGCUCUUUCGGCCGGAACGAAAUCGCGCACGUGAAUAACGUGCGUGGAUGACGGUACCGGAGUAAGAAGCACCGGCUAACUACGUGCCAGCAGCCGCGGUAAUACGUAGGGUGCGAGCGUUAAUCGGAAUUACUGGGCGUAAAGCGUGCGCAGGCGGUUCGCUAAGUCAGACGUGAAAGCCCCGGGCUUAACCUGGGAACGGCGUUUGAAACUGGCGGGCUCGAGUACGGCAGAGGGGGGUGGAAUUCCACGUGUAGCAGUGAAAUGCGUAGAUAUGUGGAGGAACACCGAUGGCGAAGGCAGCCCCCUGGGCCGAUACUGACGCUCAUGCACGAAAGCGUGGGGAGCAAACAGGAUUAGAUACCCUGGUAGUCCACGCCCUAAACUAUGUCAACUAGUUGUCGGGGAAGCAAUUCCUUGGUAACGCAGCUAACGCGUGAAGUUGACCGCCUGGGGAGUACGGUCGCAAGAUUAAAACUCAAAUGAAUUGACGG